RNAcentral lists this long non-coding RNA (1604 nucleotides) under Sus scrofa (pig). RNAcentral's name for it is "lncRNA (ENSSSCG00035040402.1)". Lineage: Eukaryota; Metazoa; Chordata; Mammalia; Artiodactyla; Suidae. The record is from RNAcentral.
GUACAGUGGGAAAAAAAUAAAUUAUAAAAAAAAAUCCUAACAAACGUGUGAGAUAAGUUUAAAUUCUGUAUACAAAGAACAUCAUGUGGGAAGUUAAAAAAUAAGCAAUAUUGUUUCCACUUUCUGAAUGCUUGAAAUUUCUCAUAAUAAAAUUGUGGGAAAAAAUAAGCAACAGACUAAGAGAAAAUGUUUAUGACACAAAUUACAGGCAGAAUUAAUAGGGAAUGCACCAAUAAAUGCCAAAAAAUGAAAAAUUGAUAAAGAAUAGAUAGGUAAUUAAGAACAAAUGCCAACAGAUUAUACACAUAGGAAAAGCAGUUCAAACUGACUAGUAAUCAGGGAAAUGAGAAUUAAAUCAACAAAUAGCUAAUAUUUCUUAUCCACUAGAUUGGAAAUAAUUAAACAUAUUGCUCAUAUUCUAUGUUGGUUAAGGAAAUAGACACUCAUCCUCUCUUGUUUGGAGUAUUCAUAUCAAACCCUUUGGGAGGGCAGCUUGGCAGCAUAUUAACAUUUUAAAUGUGCAAACCACUUAAUUCAUCGAGUCCAUAUCUCAAAAUUUAUUUGAAAGGAAGACACAGUUUCUUCAAGACUCAUGUAAAAACCUUGGGAAAAUGCCCAUUUUUAGAGGGAUAAACCAUUGAUACACAUAAACCAUAGUCAUUAGGAAGAAUGUGGUAAAUGUACACGUAUUGACACAAAUUUUUUCGAAGGCGUUUAUCUUUGUCAUGAGAAAGGCCAACCAGUAAACAGUGCAUAGAACAUGAUUUCCGUUGUGUAAAGGGAAAACCAAAAUACUUGUUUUUCAUGGAGCCAUGACUGGAAGGAUGACCAUUGUAAUGUCUCGUUUCCCUCUGUCUUUUUCUCUCAAGGCUAACAAUUCCCCAUCUCUCCCUAACCCCUUCUCACAAGUGAGCAUGCAUACGACACACACCCAUACAAACACACACACACCACAAACGCGCACAUCCUAAUUAGGUUCUAAGAGUCUUUCCCUACUCUGUUCCAGUAGCACCCUGUACUUUCGUAUCCCUCAUCUAUACCAUAAUUGUUGAUUCACACUCUCUUGUUUAUACUAACUUCCUGAAGGGAGGGACAAUGUAUCAUAUGCUGGUGAGUUACAUAUUUGGGACUAUUAUAUGUUAGCCCCAAGGCACAGCACUGUGCUUGGCACACAGCAGGACCACAAUACGUAUUUGUUGAAUGAUAAAUAAAUCCUUUCCAAAAGGCAAUAUUGAGAUACAUCAGUACAUUGCUAAUUAAUAAAAUGACCAACACAUUCACAUCUCUAUCAAAUGAUUAAUUAGAGGAGAAGAAGAAAUUUGCAGGUGAUGAGGUGUGGAGCUGUGUCAUGAGCACUCUCUCCUCUAAGGAAUUACCUGCAGCAUUGUUUUCUCUCAUUUGCAAGGAGGUCAGCUGCUUGUCUUCACUUUGUAUGGACAUGAGCCUAAGCUUCACCUGGGGUCUUCUGCAUGCCUCUGAUAUGUGAAAUCACAGUGGAGAAAGGACGCAAGGGAGGUUUGAGGUUUUUUUGUUUGUUUGUUUGUUUAACCAGUUUAUCAAGUUGAAUACUGGCACCUCAGUUUUUAUUAAAGAAAAAGAAAAAA